RNAcentral lists this ribosomal RNA (722 nucleotides) under uncultured archaeon. RNAcentral's name for it is "bacterial SSU rRNA". It matches the Rfam family "Archaeal small subunit ribosomal RNA", at positions 47 to 802 of the family's 1478-position model. The record is from RNAcentral.
AGCCAUGCGAGUCAUUGUAGCAAUACAAGGCGGACGGCUCAGUAACACGUAGUUAACCUAACUUGUGGACGUGGAUAACCUCGGGAAACUGAGAAUAAACCACGAUAGAUCAUAGUGCCUGGAAUGGCUUAUGGUCCAAACAGUUUACUGCCAUGGGAUGGGACUGCGGCCUAUCAGCUUGUUGGUGAGGUAAUGGCCCACCAAGGCGAUUACAGGUACGGGCUCUGAGAGGAGAAGCCCGGAGAUGGGUACUGAGACACGGACCCAGGCCCUAUGGGGCGCAGCAGGCGAGAAACCUUAGCAAUGUGCGAAAGCACGACUGGGUCAGUCCGAGUGAUUCCUGAUAAAGGAGUCUUUUGCUUGUCCUAAAAGCACAGGUGAAUAAGGGUGGGCAAGUCUGGUGUCAGCCGCCGCGGUAAUACCAGCAACCUUCGAGUGGUCAGGACGUUUAUUGGGCCUAAAGCAUCCGUAGCCGGCUCCUGCAAGUCUUCGGUAAAUCCACCUGCUCAACAGAUGGGCCCCUGGAAAUACAAAGAAGCUAGGGAAGGGGAAAGGCGACGGUAUCCGUGGGUAGGAGUAAAAUCCUCUGAUCAUUGAGGACCACCAUGGCGAAGGCGGUCUGCAGAACACGUUCGACGGUGAGGAUGAAGCUGGGAGCAACCGAUAGUUACCGGUAUCCACUGUAACAUGCAACUCGGUAGCCUGGCUAGGCCAUGCAUGCC